GUAUCUUCUAAAUACUCCAUUCCAGGUUUCCCCUACAGCCCCCAGGGCCUUGAGUAUCUUCUAAAUGAUCCAUUCCAGGUUUCCCCUACAGCCCCCAGGGCCUUGAGUAUCUUCUAAAUACUCCAUUCCAGGUUUCCCCUACAGCCCCCAGGGCCUUGAGUAUCUUCUAAAUACUCCAUUCCAGGUUUCCCCUACAGCCCCCAGGGCCUUGAGUAUCUUCUAAAUGCUCCAUUCCAGGUUUUCCCUACAGCCCCCAGGGCCUUGAGUAUCUUCUAAAUGAUCCAUUCCAGGUUUCCCCUACAGCCCCCAGGGCCUUGAGUAUCUUCUAAAUGCUCCAUUCCAGGUUUCCCCUACAGCCCCCAGG
This 364-nucleotide long non-coding RNA is filed under the name Salmo salar (Atlantic salmon). RNAcentral describes it as "lncRNA (ENSSSAG00000086227.1)". The record is from RNAcentral. Lineage: Eukaryota; Metazoa; Chordata; Actinopteri; Salmoniformes; Salmonidae.